GGGCGCUUAGCUCAGUUGGUUCAGAGUGCCUGCCUUACAAGCAGGAGGUCACAGGUUCGAAUCCUGUAGCGCCCACCA
Molecule: transfer RNA, 78 nt
Filed under: Fidelibacterota bacterium
Lineage: Bacteria; Pseudomonadati; Fidelibacterota
Description: tRNA-Val
Rfam family: tRNA
About the family: Transfer RNA (tRNA) molecules are approximately 80 nucleotides in length. Their secondary structure includes four short double-helical elements and three loops (D, anti-codon, and T loops).
Source: RNAcentral